Molecule: long non-coding RNA, 1068 nt
Organism: Toxorhynchites rutilus septentrionalis
Lineage: Eukaryota; Metazoa; Arthropoda; Insecta; Diptera; Culicidae
Exons: 4
Source: RefSeq, a predicted model, not a curated record
UUUUGACCUUCUCUUAUAACAAAAGCGAGUCGAUUCAGAACAAUAAUAAUCAUUCAUACAAAGAGGACACUUCACGAGUACUUCAAUAGUCAUGCACAAAUCUAAUGAACGUAAAUCUAAUCGAGAAAUUACAUCAAGUUUCAACUUAUCCGUAUAACACACCAAAAUUUCGGACAAACAAACGAUAUUUUCUGCUUACUCCUAAUUUUCAUCUUAUUCGCUACAAAAUUCACCUAAAACUAACAUGCACUAUUCUAUAAAUUGAAACGCGACGUGAAUUUGGUAACACAUAACCGGACCACCAUGGUCCAUUAUUUGUACGACACUGUGGUGAUCGGUCCAGAGCAAUAUCAGUCAUCUCCAUUCUCUAAUCAGACGGCUACUACCUACGCUACCGAUCUUCACACGAACGAUUUAUUCUGCUCGAAUUUUGAGCUAUUCGAGUUCUUCGUAAUUGAUACUCGGUUUUCGAUUGCAUACUAUCUUGAUUCGCGAAUCUUAUAUUAGUAGUUGGAUUUCGACCAGUCUUUUGUCAUUUAUCGAAUUACGUGGGAACAGACGCGCGCGCUAUCUAUCUGGUCCAGUCAUUUUUUUCAUUAAUGAGCCCUCGAGGAUAUUUACCGUGUUACGUUUAAUUCCCCGAUGAUGGUCAGUAUCUACGAGCCCCGCGGUUGGCUUGUAGAACCGUCGGAUGCUGAGGAAAAGAGAGUUUGGUCAUCUAUUCAGUGACUCAGAACGGAUUUGCCUGCUGGCUUUAAUAAAUUCGCCGGCCAAAUGCCUAUAUUGCGACCGGAGGAAUCAGCCAACUCAUAAGAAGAGUUUCCAUGCCUAGCUAUCACCGUGCAAGGAUUUGACUCAAUCUACGGCGACGUUUACAACGGGACUCAUCAUCAGGGAUAACGACGUCACGAAGAAGCAACUCGUAAUCGAGCUCACCCGCGGUUAAAUGAUCGACACGAAGUGUGCGGUACAACGCACAGAAAUCUGAAUCGGAAAUACGUGACAUUGUAACGUUCAGUCACGUAAGUCGAAUGUGAAAAUAAAUACGAUUCGGGGUGGGAGCUUAGG